UACGUAGGGUGCAAGCGUUGUCCGGAAUUAUUGGGCGUAAAGAGCUCGUAGGCGGUCUGUUGCGUCCGCUGUGAAAACUCGGGGCUUAACCCCGAGCCUGCAGUGGAUACGGGCAGACUAGAGGUAGGUAGGGGAGAAUGGAAUUCCCGGUGUAGCGGUGAAAUGCGCAGAUAUCAGGAAGAACACCAAUGGCGAAAGCAGCUUUCUGGGACGGUACUGACGCUGAGACGCGAAAGCGUGGGGAGCGAUCAGG
Molecule: ribosomal RNA, 253 nt
Filed under: uncultured bacterium
Lineage: Bacteria
Description: partial 16S ribosomal RNA
Rfam family: Bacterial small subunit ribosomal RNA
Source: RNAcentral